CAAUGGGUGAGAGCCUGAACCAGCCAUGCCGCGUGCAGGAAGAAGGCCUUCUGGGUUGUAAACUGCUUUUGCCAGGGGAUAAAAAUACCUUGCGAGGUAAAUUGAAGGUACCUGGUGAAUAAGCCACGGCUAACUACGUGCCAGCAGCCGCGGUAAUACGUAGGUGGCAAGUGUUGUCCGGAUUUAUUGGGUUUAAAGGGUGCGUAGGCGGCCCUGUAAGUCAGUGCUGAAAUAUCCCAGCUUAACUGGGAGGGUGGCAUUGAUACUGCGGGGCUAGAGUACAGAUGAGGUAGGCGGAAUUGACGGUGUAGCGGUGAAAUGCUUAGAUAUCGUCAAGAACACCUAUAGCGAAGGCAGCUUACUAGGCUGUAACUGACGCUGAGGCACGAAAGUGUGGGGAUCAAACAGGAUUAGAUACCCUGGUAGUCCACACUGUAAACGUUGAUUACUCGCUGUGUGCGAUAUACAGUACGCGGCCAAGCGAAAGCGCUAAGUAAUCCACCUGGGGAGUACGC
RNAcentral lists this ribosomal RNA (515 nucleotides) under uncultured bacterium. Its description in RNAcentral is "bacterial SSU rRNA". It matches the Rfam family "Bacterial small subunit ribosomal RNA", at positions 369 to 885 of the family's 1533-position model. The record is from RNAcentral.